RNAcentral lists this ribosomal RNA (253 nucleotides) under uncultured bacterium. Its description in RNAcentral is "partial 16S ribosomal RNA". It matches the Rfam family "Bacterial small subunit ribosomal RNA", at positions 524 to 776 of the family's 1533-position model. The record is from RNAcentral.
UACGUAGGGUGCAAGCGUUGUCCGGAAUUAUUGGGCGUAAAGAGCUCGUAGGUGGCCUGUCGCGUCGGCUGUGAAAACUCGGGGCUCAACUCCGAGCUUGCAGUCGAUACGGGCAGGCUAGAGUUCGGCAGGGGAGACUGGAAUUCCUGGUGUAGCGGUGAAAUGCGCAGAUAUCAGGAGGAACACCGGUGGCGAAGGCGGCUCUCUAGUACGGUACUGACGCUGAGACGCGAAAGCGUGGGGAGCGAACAGG